This 138-nucleotide small nucleolar RNA is filed under the name Ornithorhynchus anatinus (platypus). The record is from RNAcentral. Lineage: Eukaryota; Metazoa; Chordata; Mammalia; Monotremata; Ornithorhynchidae.
CCCCUCUUAGGGUCACACUUGGAGAGUUUCCAGGACUCUACCAGUCUCGACUAUGGGAGGGAGAGCCAAGCAGAGGCCCACCCCUUCCAAUCCUAGCUUGGGCAGUGGCUAGCGAGUGGAAGGCCAUCUGCUACAAGU